UUGUCCUGAAGGGAGAAGAGCAACCUGGCCCACAGCCUGCAGGUGGCCCAGCAGCAGGCCAAGGAGCUGCGGCAGGAGCGGAAGAAGCUGCAGGCUGCCCAGGAGGAGCUGCGGCGCCAGCGGUACUGGCUGGGGGAAGAGCAGGAGGACGCAGUGCAGGAUGGUGUGCGGGUGCGCCGGGAGCUUGAGCACAGCCAUAGACAACUGGAGCAGCUGGAAGGGAAGCGCUCAGUCCUGGCCAAGGAGCUGGUGGAGGUGAGGGAGGCGCUGAGCCGCGCCACACUGCAACGGGACAUGCUGCAGGCCGAGAAGGCCGAGGUGGCCGAGGCGCUGACCAAGGUGGG
RNAcentral lists this long non-coding RNA (344 nucleotides) under Homo sapiens (human). RNAcentral describes it as "non-protein coding lnc-SPATA21-4:6". Lineage: Eukaryota; Metazoa; Chordata; Mammalia; Primates; Hominidae. The record is from RNAcentral.